UUUACACGACAACACACGGAAUAGGCUACUGCCCCACAUGGAAAAGCUUUAUAUUGUACAUUUACGAGGAAAAUCAAUUGAAGUAGAAUGGUUGAAACACAGCCCAGACGAGGAUCUCCUAGUUUAAAGAUUUAAAUGUGGAAAUGUUGCCACCGCAUCGCAUUUUUUUCACAAGGCUUUGGCAUUUGCACCAGUAGUGAACACACACAUAGGCUACAACACACACAAUAGUGCGGAUGUCUGUGGUCACUGCACAAACCCCAGCUACGCAGAAUAGGAGAUGUUCACAUUUGGAAUGUGGAUUUAAAAAACAAUGUUGCUCCAUCUAAUAGAAGGCUAUACAUAAAAUGUACAAAUAAAAUGGAUGGCAAACCAACGGGAAUAGCCUACGUCCGUUUCCUACCAAAAGGAAUAGGAACGAAUAACAUCGAAUACAUUUCGAUUCCCCGGAAAGGACACCGGGAAUAUGAUAGCAUCAGAGUACAGUUGACGCAGGUACCUACAGCGCUCUACCCACUCCUGGAGCAGCACGGACCUUUCUCACCUGCUCAGAAGGCGCCGGACCCCUUAACACGCCACCUAUCUUCACGCGGAGGGAUAAUUGAGGAGUAUGUGUGUGAGCGUCGUUUGGAGAAGAACGUGAUCAAGUUGUUGUCUCCCUUGAGAUUACAUUUAUCAUUUGUAGGCUAUGCUUUGAGUCAAAGGUUAGAGGAAUUACCCACGAAGCAGACUUCCAAUAGCGACAUCACAAAUGAAAUAAAACAGCACUGUAAUUGCAGUGAGAGAGAAGAUCUUUAUAAUUCGGCGACAGGCACUGUCCAUACUGGCAUAUGAGUAAAAUCUGUGAAAGGAGCGCCGAAGUACCUGAUUGGAGCGCACAGGUAGUUUACCUGUACAUAUAGUUCCCUUCCUGCGUGUAUCCAGAGGCACAACAGCGGAUAGGUAGCCGACCUCUGCCUUUUUAUCUUGACUUAGUGACUGUAUAUUCACAUUGAAAAUCCUUCUGUGCCAUUCCGCAUUGUAUUUAUUGUACAAAAACGAAAGGGGGAAGAUGCAGACAUAUUUUUCUACCGGGCUCUCACUGGCAUUAACUAAACACGCUGCGGCAAAGGCGUAAUUUACAACCUGCAAAUAUGCAUAUCAUACUAUAUGGGGCUUUUUUUGAUUAUGUUUCAUGUUUAUCAUAGUUAAAAAUAUUAAAAAAAACAUCAUCACUUGUAGGCUCCAGUCAGUCAUGUGCAGCGGAGAGUAACUAACACACAUGGUUUGUGGUUGGUAAAGUAGGCUAUUCCCCUCCCUUCUCGGUAUCUAUUUAUUUUCUGGAUGGAUGGAUGAUAAGUUCACAAAUGGAUGGAAGCGGCUAUAUGAUGAACCCACUCAAAGCCAUUUGGAUUUGAAUGGAGCUCAUACGAAACCAGGAAUAUGGAAACUUGAUCAAGAUGGCAGGUUAUCAGGAGGAAGAGCGCUGGGUGCUGGUGUCCUCAUCACGUUCUCAACUUACUGUUACUGUAUGGCAGAUUUCGUUGAGCAAUUCAUUUGGUUUUGGGCUGUUCCCUGGCGUCCCCACCUCCCAGAGAAAUGUCUGAGGCCUUGAUAUAUUCCUCUCAGGUUUCCAUGGCCGCACCGCCCGGGCCAGAUCCCGUUGCACUGAUGUCACUCAUGAAUUGAACCACCUCUCUACGGGAAGGGAUUCACAAGGUAUCCAUACCGGAGGGAAAAGGACAUUUGUUGAGUUAAAUCGUGGCAAAGGUGAUUUGGCCUACAUGCAUGUUGACAGCUUUAUGGACUGUUGGCCUUGGAGCGUGAGGGGAAAAGUGAAGAGAGCUGGCAUGUUUCCCAGACACGCGCAGGUGAAACAUCAUGGUCAGUGCCCGUGUUAACAGUAACAAUCUGGCACCUAACAAGCGCACCUACAGCCUGUCAGAGGAGACCACUGCGUAGCAAUUUGACUGUGACUGUGUGUGUGCGUGUGUGUGGGGGGAUUCAGUGUCUGUAUGUGUCUACUGUAUGUGUGUGCAUGUGUGUCCCAAUUCAGGAGGGAAUGAUGUCUGAAGCAAUGUGACACUGCUGUGAAUGAGAUGAAGGUUAUGGAAUUCUAAGAACACAAAUACUUGCCAAUUGAGGUAAAGUUCAACUGAUGGACCUCUUAAAGCCUGCUGGAGGCCAUCUAUGGAUUGUCAUGAUUUUGAUCUGAUGUAAUCUUGACUGAUUUAGAUGAUUGGCAAUUGUGUCAAAUCCACAAACAAAGAAUACAGUGUUUUGUCAAAAAUCUCCACAUUGACUAUGUGGUCAGUUAGGGCCGCAAUUAUGGGAGCUUCUAGACUAUACAAUUUAUAAAAUAUUUGUUAACUUCAGGAUGUGUAUUUAUGCUUCAGUGGUAAUGCUAGUUUUGUUCUUUGUUCAUUUGUUUGUUUGUCUGUUUUUAAUAGGGGGUAUGUUACUUGAACGUCAUUAUGUGAUUGAUUUUAUGAUGCCUUCUCAACAUGACAACUCGCUGUUAGUGAUAAUGACAUAGUUACGAUAGAAUGAUCCAUUGUGGACUAAGUUCACAGCUCUCUGCCCUUUAACCAUAUUGAGUCUUUGGCAACACUAAGUGCUGCCACACAGCCACACCCUUUCAGUAUUACGUCAUGAGAAUCUUUGUCUGGGCUCGGUGACACAACUGUAAAUGCCACAGCAUGGAGCGUGGUCAUCGCUUUAGCUAACGGAAACCUCAGCUAUGUAUGUCUGAUCUCAGGGGAUAUUUCGACUCCAAACACCCGAGCCCCACCAGCAAGAAAUGACACCGAAUGAGUUGACCUCUCUGGAUCUUUUUUUUACGAGGGUCUUUAAUUGGAUUUUAAUAUCAUUCGAUUGGGAGAAACAUCUCAUUAUAUUCCACUUUGAAUGUAUAAAGAGUCAUGGUUU
Oncorhynchus nerka (sockeye salmon) is the source of this 2907-nucleotide long non-coding RNA. RefSeq lists it as uncharacterized. NCBI's taxonomy places the organism in Eukaryota, Metazoa, Chordata, Actinopteri, Salmoniformes, Salmonidae. The transcript is spliced from 5 exons. The record is from RefSeq and is a predicted model, not a curated record.